AACACGUGGGCAAUCUGCCCUGCACUCUGGGACAAGCCCUGGAAACGGGGUCUAAUACCGGAUACUCACUGCCUUGGGCAUCCUUGGGGGUGGAAAGCUCCGGCGGUGCAGGAUGAGCCCGCGGCCUAUCAGCUAGUUGGUGAGGUAAUGGCUCACCAAGGCGACGACGGGUAGCCGGCCUGAGAGGGCGACCGGCCACACUGGGACUGAGACACGGCCCAGACUCCUACGGGAGGCAGCAGUGGGGAAUAUUGCACAAUGGGCGAAAGCCUGAUGCAGCGACGCCGCGUGAGGGAUGACGGCCUUCGGGUUGUAAACCUCUUUCAGCAGGGAAGAAGCGAGAGUGACGGUACCUGCAGAAGAAGCGCCGGCUAACUACGUGCCAGCAGCCGCGGUAAUACGUAGGGCGCAAGCGUUGUCCGGAAUUAUUGGGCGUAAAGAGCUCGUAGGCGGCUUGUCACGUCGGUUGUGAAAGCCCGGGGCUUAACCCCGGGUCUGCAGUCGAUACGGGCAGGCUAGAGUUCGGUAGGGGAGAUCGGAAUUCCUGGUGUAGCGGUGAAAUGCGCAGAUAUCAGGAGGAACACCGGUGGCGAAGGCGGAUCUCUGGGCCGAUACUGACGCUGAGGAGCGAAAGCGUGGGGAGCGAACAGGAUUAGAUACCCUGGUAGUCCACGCCGUAAACGGUGGGCACUAGGUGUGGGCAACAUUCCACGUUGUCCGUGCC
This 724-nucleotide ribosomal RNA is filed under the name Streptomyces sp. 525(2010). Its description in RNAcentral is "bacterial SSU rRNA". It matches the Rfam family "Bacterial small subunit ribosomal RNA", at positions 112 to 847 of the family's 1533-position model. Lineage: Bacteria; Bacillati; Actinomycetota; Actinomycetes; Kitasatosporales; Streptomycetaceae. The record is from RNAcentral.